GGAAGGAUCAUUAACACUUCUCAGGCUCGGCGGGGGGCUUCGGCUCUCUUCUGGGACUGGAUGGAUCCAUAUCCAUUUACCCCUGUGAACCGUUGAAGUCUUUUUUUAGUGAAUUUUACAAUUGUGUUUUUGAAUAUCUGAACUCAAAAAACAAAGGGCUUUCUCAUACUUUUGUGUGGGUUCGCCUGGAGUUGUUAUUUAAUCAUAAAUACAACUUUCAGCAACGGAUAUCUUGGUUCUCGCAACGAUGAAGAGCGCAGCGAAAUGCGAUACGUAAUGUGAAUUGCAGGAUUCAGUGAAUCAUCAAAAUCUUGAACGCAAAUUGCGCUUCAUUACUCUUUUGUAGUGGAGCACGCCUGUUUCAGUGUCUGUAUACAUCUAAAAGAAAGUAAAUCUUUUUUGCUUUACUCUCUUUUGUGUUUGGUGGUUGCGUGCUUAUCUGCGCGCAUCCGCUUAAGUCCAGACGACCGAUUCAUGCAACUGAGCAGGGUUCUACCUUCGGAUGGUUCAGUGUGCUCACCCAUGGCAUGACGAAGUAGCUGCACUUGACUGUGGUUCACUCUCGUUUCAGGCCUCUAAGUGGGAAGCAUUGUAAUCGAAGUUUCGUUUUCCGCAGGAAAGAGUCAACCUUUACUUUGGACCUGAAAUCAGACGAGACUACCCGCUGAAUUUAAGCAUAUUAAUAAGCGGAGGAAAAGAAACUAACAGGGAUUCCCCUAGUAACGGCGAGCGAAAAGGGAAUAGCUCAAAUUUAAAAUCUCCGAUCCCUCGGGUCGGCGAAUUGUAGUUUUGAGGGGUGCUCUCUGGCGUUGGGCUGGGCCUAAGUCCCUUGGAACAGGGUAUCAUAGAGGGUGAGAAUCCCGUCUGUGGCUCGGACUCCGACCCUACAUGUGGCAACCCCGAAGAGUCGGGUCGUUUGGGAAUGCGGCCCCAAAUGGGUGGUAAACUUCAUCUAAAGCUAAAUACCGGCGAGAGACCGAUAGCGAAAAAGUACCGUGAGGGAAAGAUGCAAAGAACUUUGAAAAGAGAGUUAAAAAGUGCUUGAAAUUGCUGAAAGGGAAGCGCUGGAGUACCAAUGCUGCGGCGGGCAUUAUCAACCAAGGGUGGAUUCGCACGCUUGGAGCGGUGACCGUAAGGCGCCGCCUUCGCGCGUCGGUGUUCAUCCCGGGUGCACUAGUGUCCGUCGCGGUCAGCGUCGGCUGGUUUUUUUCGCCUGGGGGAAAAUGGUGGCGGGUAAGGUGGUUCCCUUCGGGGUCCGUUAAGACCGCUGCAGAUACCCCGGGUCCGGCCGAGGAAGGGAGUAAGCCCUUUACGGUGCGCGCCUAGCGAGGCGCCCGGGCGCUGGUUGUUGCGUGCGGGGAUGGGGAGCUAAGCUGCCCGCUCCAAUCGUGAUGCCACCCGCCUGUGGAUCGCCGUCAGUCGCGCCAAAGACGCUGGCAAAAUGGUCUUCAUCGACCCGUCUUGAAACACGGACCAAGGAGUCUAACGUAUGCGCAAGUGUUAAGGUGACAAACCUGUGGACGCGGAAUGAAAGUGAAGGGCCGUUCGGCGGCCUGAGGAGGGAACCCCCGUUUUCGCGGGGCGCACCUUCGACCGAUCUGGAUUUUCUUUGAAGGAUUUGAGUAUGAGCGCAUCCGUUGGGACCCGAAAGAUGGUGAACUAUGCCUGAAUAGGGUGAAGUCGAGGGAAACCUCGAUGGAGGCUCGUAGCGAUACUGACGUGCAAAUCGUUCGUCAAAUUUGGGUAUAGGGGAGAAAGACUAAUCGAACCAUCUAGUAGCUGGUUCCCGC
Molecule: unclassified non-coding RNA, 1790 nt
Filed under: uncultured fungus
Lineage: Eukaryota; Fungi
Description: sequence contains 18S rRNA gene, ITS1, 5.8S rRNA gene, ITS2, 28S rRNA gene
Rfam family: Eukaryotic large subunit ribosomal RNA (bases 638-1790)
Source: RNAcentral